CACCACCGGCGGACGGCUCAGUAACACGUCGGUAACCUACCCUCGGGAGGGGGAUAACCCCGGGAAACUGGGGCUAAUUCCCCAUAGGCCUGAGGUACUGGAAGGUCCUCAGGCCGAAAGGGACUUAUGUCCGCCCGAGGAUGGGCCGGCGGCCGAUUAGGUAGUUGGUGGGGUAAUGGCCCACCAAGCCGAAGAUCGGUACGGGCUGUGAGAGCAGGAGCCCGGAGAUGGACACUGAGACACGGGUCCAGGCCCUACGGGGCGCAGCAGGCGCGAAACCUCCGCAAUGCGGGAAACCGCGACGGGGGGACCCCGAGUGCCGUGGCAACGCCACGGCUUUUCCGGAGUGUAAAAAGCUCCGGGAAUAAGGGCUGGGUAAGGCCGGUGGCAGCCGCCGCGGUAAUACCGGCGGCCCGAGUGGUGGCCGCUAUUAUUGGGCCUAAAGCGUCCGUAGCCGGGCCCGUAAGUCCCUGGCGAAAUCCCACGGCUCAACCGUGGGGCUUGCUGGGGAUACUGCGGGUCUUGGGACCGGGAGAGGCGGGGGGUACCCCUGGGGUAGGGGUGAAAUCCUAUAAUCCCAGGGGGACCGCCAGUGGCGAA
Molecule: ribosomal RNA, 600 nt
Filed under: uncultured archaeon
Lineage: Archaea
Description: bacterial SSU rRNA
Rfam family: Archaeal small subunit ribosomal RNA
Source: RNAcentral